This 203-nucleotide ribosomal RNA is filed under the name uncultured bacterium. Its description in RNAcentral is "partial 16S ribosomal RNA". It matches the Rfam family "Bacterial small subunit ribosomal RNA", at positions 328 to 538 of the family's 1533-position model. The record is from RNAcentral.
ACGCUCGACACCUACGGGAGCAGCAGUGGGGAAUAUUGCACAAUGGGGGAAACCCUGAUGCAGCGACGCCGCGUGAGUGAAGAAGUAUUUCGGUAUGUAAAGCUCUAUCAGCAGGGAAGAAGAUGACGGUACCUGAGUAAGAAGCCCCGGCUAACUACGUGCCAGUAGCCGCGGUAAGUACUGAGCGGGCGUGGCGAAGGACG